Long non-coding RNA from Bos taurus (domestic cattle), 960 nucleotides. The record is from Ensembl. NCBI's taxonomy places the organism in Eukaryota, Metazoa, Chordata, Mammalia, Artiodactyla, Bovidae.
CAGCCUUGGUGACCGUGAAGGAGCACAGAGAUGGCUUCUCUCCUUGGCCUGAACUCGAUGAGGAUCCGGAGCCUUGAAAGUACACGCCCGUCCUCAGCCAGUCCAGACAAAUUGGGGUCUCCACUCAUGACUUUUAAGCUUCAACCUGCUGGUCUGCCUCUCACUGUCUCUGCACACUCCAAAGAAAGGCUACGGCCAAAGGCCCGAAUUUGCUGGCUUCGCUGGGACCAGACUGGUUAUCCAUUUUAAAUAAAGUAGUAUGUGUAUGUCUAUCUCAAACUUCCCAACUAUCCCUUCCCCUAACCUUCCCCUCUGGUAUCCAUAAGAGUGUUUUUGUUUUGUUUGGAAAAACACCCAGGAGUGGAAUUGCUGGAAGUGAUGUGUUAGUCACUCAGUCAUAUCAGACCCCAUGAACUGUAGCCCUCCAAGGCUCCUCUGUCCAUAGGAUUCUCCAGGGAAGAAUACUGGAGUGGGUUGCCCUUUCCCUCCUCCAGGGGAUCUUCCCAACCUAGGGACUGAACCCUGAUCUCCCGCAUUGCAAGCAGAUUCUUUACCAUUUGAACCACCAGGGAAGCCCAUGGAAUUGCUGGGUUGUAUGAAUUGUGUCGGUUUCUGCCAAACAUCAACAUGAAUCAGCCCUAUGAUAUAGAUAUGUCUCUACUUGUUAUAUAUGGACUUCCCUGGUGGCUCAGACGGUAAAGCAUCUGCUGACAAUGCAGGAGACCCGGGUUCAAUCCUUGGGUUGGGAAGAUCUCCUGGAGAAGGAAAUGGCAAUCCACUCCAGUAUUCUUGCUUGGAAUGGAAAUCCCAUGAACAGAGGUGCCUGGUAGGCUACAGUCCAUGGGGUCGCAAAGAGUCGGACACGACUGAGCGACUUCACUUUCACUAUUUGUUAUAUAUAGAUAUCAUUUUAAAUAUGAUAUGUCUCUACCUUUGGGUGGUAUCACAGAAAUUAAUUUG